Non-coding RNA from Salmo salar (Atlantic salmon), 415 nucleotides. The record is from the annotation of a RefSeq genome assembly. NCBI's taxonomy places the organism in Eukaryota, Metazoa, Chordata, Actinopteri, Salmoniformes, Salmonidae.
CCCAAAGUCUCCAACAGUGUCUUUGCUGUCGGCGCCCAUUGGCACCACCCAGUACCUGAUGUGUAUGAUUGAAGAUUUCACCUCCAACACAGUCACUGUCACCUGGAAGAAGAAUGACAUGGAGGUGGAGGGCCAGACCCCUACUCUAGUCAAACAGCCGUCAGGCCUCUACUCAGGCAGCAGUCUGCUGAAGGUCAUCAACACUGACUGGAACAACAAGGUCAAGUACAGCUGUGUGGUGCAGCACCAGGAACAAACCAUCAACAAGACGAUCUCCAAAACAGAACCACUGACGGUGACUCUGAACCCACCGCGUGUGAGAGAGUACCGUGAUUAAUGGACAGUUCAGCAGGCAUCAGCUAUGUAGCCAAGUGAUCAUAGGGUCCAGGGGGGCAGCGGUAGAUGGAACAUGGAG